GUUGUCUCAGUGUUUUAUCACGGCUAUAGCCUCUGAAGUGAGCACUGGAGUCACUGGGAAUCUAGCAGACUGGUGGCCAGGGGCUGCUACCUCACCAGGCAGGGAGGUUGGAGGUGGGUGGAGGGGUAGAGAGGCAGGGGAGUCUCCAGUCUGAGGCUACCACAUGAGGCAAGGACUUCCCUGGACCUGGAGGAGGACCGGAUUCGGAGGCCAGGAUGCCAUAGUGGGGGUAAGACUUAUGCCUGGGCCAUCCUGGUUCUGUAAAGAGAUUUUUUUCCCCCUGUGCCAAGCAUGGUCAACCUUUUGACAUGGCCAAGACAUACAAAGUUCACGCUGAGAGCUGUGCAAUGGAGUUACAAAAAAUUUUUUUUAUUUCAAAAACUAUCUUUCUUAUACUUUAGAGUUCUGACCUGAGCUGCUGACCCAGAAGACGAAAUGAGAAGAUGGAUAGACUGGAAAGUUCAUUCUGGCUUAAUCCAGGUGGAAUUUCAUCAGAGCUCCUGGAGAGUUUGACAGCAGCGUGCCCGGGAGGGAGCUGGGGCAGGAGAGGCGCUUCCCCAUGAAGUGAUUAGCCAGGCAGACCUGUUGUCCUAUGGAGGGCACCGUUACCCGGCGGAUGUAAUUACCCAUUCGCUCUGUUGUUAGCUGGGGUAGGAGACUGAGGCUCUCGCCCUGCCUGCUCCUGCAUUUCAAAGCUUACUCACACGCCCGAAUCCCUGAUAUUAAAGCACAAUGAGACUUUUUUGAAUUCAAUUAA
Molecule: long non-coding RNA, 757 nt
Organism: Mastomys coucha (southern multimammate mouse)
Lineage: Eukaryota; Metazoa; Chordata; Mammalia; Rodentia; Muridae
Exons: 3
Source: RefSeq, a predicted model, not a curated record